RNAcentral lists this ribosomal RNA (484 nucleotides) under uncultured bacterium. RNAcentral's name for it is "partial 16S ribosomal RNA". It matches the Rfam family "Bacterial small subunit ribosomal RNA", at positions 30 to 507 of the family's 1533-position model. The record is from RNAcentral.
AUUGAACGCUGGCGGCAGGCCUAACACAUGCAAGUCGAGCGGAUGAAGGGAGCUUGCUCCUGGAUUCAGCGGCGGACGGGUGAGUAAUGCCUAGGAAUCUGCCUGGUAGUGGGGGAUAACGUCCGGAAACGGGCGCUAAUACCGCAUACGUCCUGAGGGAGAAAGUGGGGGAUCUUCGGACCUCACGCUAUCAGAUGAGCCCAGGUCGGAUUAGCUAGUUGGUGGGGUAAAGGCCUACCAAGGCGACGAUCCGUAACUGGUCUGAGAGGAUGAUCAGUCACACUGGAACUGAGACACGGUCCAGACUCCUACGGGAGGCAGCAGUGGGGAAUAUUGGACAAUGGGCGAAAGCCUGAUCCAGCCAUGCCGCGUGUGUGAAGAAGGUCUUCGGAUUGUAAAGCACUUUAAGUUGGGAGGAAGGGCAGUAAGUUAAUACCUUGCUGUUUUGACGCUACCAACAGAAUAAGCACCGGCUAACUUCGUG